UCCCUUAGAUGUUCUGGGCCGCACGCGCGCUACACUGACGAUGUCAACGAGUCUCUCCUUGGCCGAAAGGUCUGGGUAAUCUUCUGAAACAUCGUCGUGCUGGGGAUAGAUCAUUGCAAUUUUUGAUCUUGAACGAGGAAUUCCUAGUAAGCGCGAGUCAUCAGCUCGCGUUGAUUACGUCCCUGCCCUUUGUACACACCGCCCGUCGCUACUACCGAUUGAAUGGUUUAGUGAGGACUCCUGAUUGGCGCCGCCGCCCCGGCAACGGAGCAGUGGACUGCCGAAAAGUUGUUCAAACUUGAUCAUUUAGAGGAAGUAAAAGUCGUAACA
RNAcentral lists this ribosomal RNA (330 nucleotides) under uncultured eukaryote. RNAcentral describes it as "partial 18S ribosomal RNA". It matches the Rfam family "Eukaryotic small subunit ribosomal RNA", at positions 1469 to 1796 of the family's 1831-position model. The record is from RNAcentral.